CCAGACUCCUACGGGAGGCAGCAGUGGGGAAUAUUGCACAAUGGGGGAAACCCUGAUGCAGCGACGCCGCGUGAGCGAUGAAGUAUUUCGGUAUGUAAAGCUCUAUCAGCAGGGAAGAAAAUGACGGUACCUGAAGAAGAAGCCCCGGCUAACUACGUGCCAGCAGCCGCGGUAAUACGUAGGGGGCAAGCGUUAUCCGGAUUCACUGGGUGUAAAGGGAGCGUAGACGGCCAUGCAAGCCUGGAGUGAAAGCCCGGGGCCCAACCCCGGGACUGCUCUGGGAACUGUGCGGCUGGAGUGCGGGAGGGGCAGGCGGAAUUCCUGGUGUAGCGGUGAAAUGCGUAGAUAUCAGGAGGAACACCGGCGGCGAAGGCGGCCUGCUGGACCGCGACUGACGUUGAGGCUCGAAAGCGUGGGGAGCAAACAGGAUUAGAUACCCUUGUA
This 444-nucleotide ribosomal RNA is filed under the name uncultured bacterium. RNAcentral's name for it is "bacterial SSU rRNA". It matches the Rfam family "Bacterial small subunit ribosomal RNA", at positions 331 to 792 of the family's 1533-position model. The record is from RNAcentral.